GACGAGGGUCCUUCGGGACUCGAGUGGCGAACGGGUGAGUAACACGUAGGGAACCUGCCCGUGCGACCGGGAGAACUUUCGGAAACGGAAGCUGAUACCGGAUAGGGACAGAGACGGCAUCGACUCUGUGUUAAAGGAGCUGCAAGGCUCCGCGCACGGAUGGACCUGCGGUGCAUUAGCUAGUUGGUGAGGUAACGGCCCACCAAGGCGACGAUGCAUAGCCGGCCUGAGAGGGCGGACGGCCACACUGGGACUGAGACACGGCCCAGACUCCUACGGGAGGCAGCAGUAGGGAAUUUUCGUCAAUGGGCGCAAGCCUGAACGAGCAAUGCCGCGUGAACGAGGAAGGUCUUCGGAUCGUAAAGUUCUGUUGAAGGGGAAAAAGAGCGGAGAGAGGAAAUGAACUCCGAUUGAUAUUACCCUUCGAGGAAGUCACGGCUAACUACGUGCCAGCAGCCGCGGUAAUACGUAGGUGGCGAGCGUUAUCCGGAAUGAUUGGGCGUAAAGGGUGCGUAGGCGGCCUGCUAAGUCUGGAGUGAAAGGUACCGGCUCAACCGGUAUAGGCUCUGGAAACUGGCGAGCUAGAGAGCAGGAGAGGGCGGUGGAACUCCAUGUGUAGCGGUAAAAUGCGUAGAUAUAUGGAAGAACACCAGUGGCGAAGGCGGCCGCCUGGCCUGUUACUGACGCUGAGGCACGAAAGCGUGGGGAGCAAAUAGGAUUAGAUACCCUAGUAGUCCACGCCGUAAACGAUGAGGACCAAGUGUUGGGGAAGACCCAGUGCUGCAGUUAACGCAGUGAGUCCUCCGCCUGGGGAGUAUGCACGCAAGUGUGAAACUCAAAGGAAUUGACGGGGGCC
This 856-nucleotide ribosomal RNA is filed under the name uncultured bacterium. RNAcentral's name for it is "bacterial SSU rRNA". It matches the Rfam family "Bacterial small subunit ribosomal RNA", at positions 65 to 921 of the family's 1533-position model. The record is from RNAcentral.